UAGGGAAUCUUUNNUNAAUGGGGGCAACCCUGACCGAGCAACGCCGCGUGAGUGAAGAAGGUUUUCGGAUCGUAAAGCUCUGUUGUAAGAGAAGAACGAGUGUGAGAGUGGAAAGUUCACACUGUGACGGUAUCUUACCAGAAAGGGACGGCUAACUACGUGCCAGCAGCCGCGGUAAUACGUAGGUCCCGAGCGUUGUCCGGAUUUAUUGGGCGUAAAGCGAGCGCAGGCGGUUAGAUAAGUCUGAAGUUAAAGGCUGUGGCUUAACCAUAGUACGCUUUGGAAACUGUUUAACUUGAGUGCAAGAGGGGAGAGUGGAAUUCCAUGUGUAGCGGUGAAAUGCGUAGAUAUAUGGAGGAGCACCGGUGGCGAAAGCGGCUCUCUGGCUUGUAACUGACGCUGAGGCUCGAAAGCGUGGGGAGCAAACAGGAUUAGAUACCUUGGUAGUCCACGCCGUAAACGAUGAGUGCUAAGUGUUGGUCUCAUAAGAGAUCAGUGCUGCAGCUAACGCAUUAAAGCACUCCGCCUGGGGAGUACGACCGCAAGGUUG
RNAcentral lists this ribosomal RNA (550 nucleotides) under uncultured bacterium. RNAcentral describes it as "bacterial SSU rRNA". It matches the Rfam family "Bacterial small subunit ribosomal RNA", at positions 355 to 896 of the family's 1533-position model. The record is from RNAcentral.